GCAGGCGCAGCCCAGCCCAGGCCCAGGCAAUGGCUUCCAAAAAUAGCUAGCGAGCAAGCUGCAAGUUUCCUUGUACAAUGAAGAACAUGGAGCAUCACAUUUACUGAUUUCAUCACUUAAAUUUGCAGAUUUUUACUUUUUUCAUUGAAAUUGACAAUUUAUUUUCACAAGCAAUCAUCUGAGAUAAAGUCUAAUUUUGUUUCUACUAUCAAUUUCUCGUACACCGCAGCCCAAUUUCACUCAGUCAUAAUAAGCUAAUAUUUUCUUCCAAUUUAAAUAAAAUUAAUUCAAUACUUGCAUUACAAUUCAAAUUUGAUCAAAAAACAAUAAAAACUGCUAUUAAAUUGUUAUUUGAGCUCUUGAAAAUUGAGAAAAUCAACAUAAACUAUUCUGAUCUGCUAACCUCACAAUUGUAAUUUUUGGCUAUGCGGUGAUUAAUUAAAGAAAUGAAAAUAUUUUAAAAUAUGAUGAAGAAAAUGAACAAGAAGAAACUGGAGGAGAUGGAAAAGAAGAAACUGAAGAGGAUACAUGAAGAAAAUUUGAAGAAGAUCUAUUGAUGAACAUUGGUAUGAUAGAAGAAAUUGUCCAAUAUGAACUAUGAUCCGUUUCGAAUGUACACACUUUUUCAAUGAACUUCAUCCACUUCGGCAUAGCUUCAUGGUAUCACCGUUGGUCAGGGUGACUUCUAGAGGCCAGCUCCACUAAGAAUUAUGAACUUCACUUCCCGGAGGUCUGGAUUCUACCUAAAUCUAAAGGGGAAUCAAAAUAAAAGCAAAACCAUUGAAAGAAAAUUGCUGUCGAGCAGUCAAGGAAUAAUGAUCUAUUGAUGGAAGAAUGCAAAAAUGGAAAAGUAUAAUUUAUUGGCGUAAUUGAAGCAGGGUUUAGCAGACAGGUCUACCUCCUCUGGAGGGAAAACAUGCAAGGAGAUGGUGAAGAACAUUCUUCGGAGACUCGUGACAGACAAUGUUGGAAUGCUCUUCAGCUGGUUGGGAGGAAAGGGAAAACGUUGCUUUCCAAUUCGCCACUGGUGGAGGUAAUCUACGAAUGGAAGUUGAAUGUGCAGACAGACAUCAUCAAUGAAAUCAAAAUUAACAUACCAGUAAGGAAAAUUUUAAGGGAAUUAGAGACUACCCAGAAAAGUUCAGAGUCAGAGAUUAGUAAAGCUAUAGUUUCAAAGAUAUUUCUGAUGUAAAAAUUUGGGAAUUACUACCAGUGAAAUUAGAAGAAGAAUUUACCGCUUUGGAGGAAAAAGUAUCUGAAACAGGAGCAUUCAAGUCAAAAAUGAUAAGGUCAAAUUUCUCUAAAGUAACUUUUGAGUGCUCCAAUUUUUUUAUUUUUUAUUUGGUUGCCAUUGUGAGAUUUUGAAUGUACAAUACUUUUUACAGUAGAGUCCUGCUAUUCCAAAGUUCGGUAAAGUAUACCAUAGUUCGGUAAAGUUUCAUAGCUCUAACUUUUAAGUUAAUACAGCCCUUUAAUUAGGUUCCUGCCAUUCGGAGAGGGUUUAUUUAAAAAGAUAUGUUUUCUGUUGAAGCUUUACAUCAAGACCUUUCAUUCAAUUUUGCGGUUAAAAGGUGUGCGGUUUAUGGUUCUCUCAAAAGUUCAAAUCGUUAGCUUUAUAUAUAGAUAUAAUAAAUCAGAAUGUGUUGCUCUGUAACCAAAGAUUAUAUUUAUUGAUUUGAAAAAAAAAUUUAAUAAACAUUAAAAUAUAGACACUUUUGAAUUAAUAUGUAACCAAGUAUAUGUAUUAAGUAUAUGUAACCAAAGAAACAAUAUUCAAUAUCCAAAAAAUUCUGUGUAUCUCCUUCACGAUCUUUCCAAACUAUUGCUUUCAACAAACUCAAAAUAAACAUUUUAUGGUUACUAGGGACAUGUGCUUCUCAGUCUUCAGAUGAUAUUUAUAAAGAAUACUAUAAUAUGUUCUUUACAUCUCCCCCCUCCCCACAGACAGAAUUGACAAAAACAAAUAUAAACAAACCAGCACAAAAGAAUAAACAUAUAUGAAUAUAUAAA
RNA transcript from Nilaparvata lugens (brown planthopper), 2010 nucleotides. RefSeq lists it as uncharacterized. Lineage: Eukaryota; Metazoa; Arthropoda; Insecta; Hemiptera; Delphacidae. The transcript is spliced from 5 exons. The record is from RefSeq and is a predicted model, not a curated record.